Molecule: ribosomal RNA, 252 nt
Filed under: uncultured bacterium
Lineage: Bacteria
Description: partial 16S ribosomal RNA
Rfam family: Bacterial small subunit ribosomal RNA
Source: RNAcentral
UACGGAGGAUGCGAGCGUUAUCCGGAUUUAUUGGGUUUAAAGGGUGCGUAGGCGGAUCGUUAAGUCAGUGGUCAAAUUGAGGGGCUCAACCCCUUCCCGCCAUUGAAACUGGCGGUCUUGAGUGGAAGAGAAGUAUGCGGAAUGCGUGGUGUAGCGGUGAAAUGCAUAGAUAUCACGCAGAACCCCGAUUGCGAAGGCAGCAUGCCGGCUUCCUACUGACGCUGAAGCACGAAAGCGUGGGGAUCGAACAGG